Molecule: transfer RNA, 74 nt
Filed under: Nocardiopsis flavescens
Lineage: Bacteria; Bacillati; Actinomycetota; Actinomycetes; Streptosporangiales; Nocardiopsidaceae
Description: Nocardiopsis sp. SA6 tRNA
Rfam family: tRNA
About the family: Transfer RNA (tRNA) molecules are approximately 80 nucleotides in length. Their secondary structure includes four short double-helical elements and three loops (D, anti-codon, and T loops).
Source: Rfam by way of RNAcentral
GCCCUGAUAUCCCAACAGGCAGAGGAAAACGGCUCAAACCCGUUACAGUGUGGGUUCGAAUCCCACUCAGGGCA